AAAUACAUACAUUAUGUAAGCCGCGAGAACGUCUCAAUAAACUCAAAACUGAGGCGACUUGGGUGAAAAUAAAUGCAUAUGGCACCACGCACAUCCCUUGAGCUUGGGAAGGAGGCGCUGUAUUGGAAUCUAGCGUCGAAAAACGUGCUGCUAGGAAAGUUGGUGGGUACCGGAUAUGCGACGCAGGUGCACGCGGUGGAGUUCGGCCAGACAUGAUAUUCAGUGGCAUGACUUGCAUAUAGCACAUUCUCCAUGUCUCUGGCACUGGCUAAGCAAAGCAUGGAGCACUUUGCCGGUGACCUUCUCCGUGAGUGGGGCUGAAAUUGGAUGA
This 331-nucleotide long non-coding RNA is filed under the name Sinocyclocheilus anshuiensis. RNAcentral's name for it is "lncRNA (ENSSANG00000034743.1)". The record is from RNAcentral. Lineage: Eukaryota; Metazoa; Chordata; Actinopteri; Cypriniformes; Cyprinidae.